CGUGUAGGCGGUCGGCCAAGUCCGAUGUGAAAGCCCGAGGCUCAGCCUCGGAAGUGCGUCGGAAACUAGUCGGCUGGAGCGCGAUAGAGGAGGGUGGAAUUCCUGGUGUAGCGGUGAAAUGCGUAGAUAUCAGGAGGAACACCGGCGGCGAAGGCGGCCCUCUGGAUCGUUGCUGACGCUGAGACGCGAAAGCGUGGGGAGCAAACAGGAUUAGAUACCCUGGUAGUCCACGCUGUAAACGAUGGGUACUAGGUGUUCGGGGUAUUGACCCCCUGAGUGCCGCAGCUAACGCAUUAAGUACCCCGCCUGGGGACUACGGCCGCAAGGUUAAA
RNAcentral lists this ribosomal RNA (332 nucleotides) under uncultured bacterium. RNAcentral describes it as "bacterial SSU rRNA". It matches the Rfam family "Bacterial small subunit ribosomal RNA", at positions 568 to 898 of the family's 1533-position model. The record is from RNAcentral.